This is a long non-coding RNA of Ostrea edulis (European flat oyster), 1725 nucleotides long. RefSeq lists it as uncharacterized. The transcript is spliced from 2 exons. Lineage: Eukaryota; Metazoa; Mollusca; Bivalvia; Ostreida; Ostreidae. The record is from RefSeq and is a predicted model, not a curated record.
UCGAUAAUUCAGAAUUUACAGUAUUGAUAGAAAUUGAAUCCCAAUCAGGGUUUAAAGUUUUGCAUUAAAUCACAUGUAUGCAAGAAUUUUAUGUUCUUAAGAAUUACGAUGCUAUUAAUCUAAAUCAAUAUGCAAUUAUAAUACAAUAUUAAAUAUUUAUUUCAGUUUAUUUGAAACGUUAAGUAAGUAGAGGCCCCUGAUGUAUAUCAUAAAUAGAUCAAGGGAAAAUCAAAACAAGGUCAAAAUAACCUGUAGUGACAUAACAACUUAAAACAGACAAUUCUCAAGAUGUUUAUGGCAAGUACAUGUAGGUAUACUCAUAUUUAAUGUAUGUAUUAGAUCGCCUUGAUAUCGGAUUGUGAUUUUCAUUUCCUAACAGAUUGAAGGGAGCAUAGUUACUAUAUUUACUCCAAUGGAGCCUGAUAUGGUGCAGGGGUUUCAACAGUCUCGUUUAAAGUCAGCAUUUCGCAAAUUCUAUCAUAUUACAAUUUAGGCUGUCAAUACAACCUAUGAUUGGGUCAAAUGCUGUCUUACUUGUUUUAUACCGAUUGUUAAGCCGUUCUUGACACACUGAUAACUCCGUUUACCUGAUCAAGAUAUAGGGAUCACAGCGGGUUUGACCGGUCGACAGGGGAUGCAUACUCUUAGGCACCUGAUCCCACCUCUGGUACAUCCAGAGGUCCGUGUCAGCCCAACUCUCUAUUUUGUAUUGCUUAUAGGAGUUAUGAGAUUGAUCAUUUGUUCGUUAUCUUUACCUUUCAUAUGGAGGGUGGAGAUGAUGAAAAAUAAAAGCAUGGAGGUGUUUAGGUGGAGGUGACAACACAACAGCAAUGUUAAACGUAUAGAAAGAAAUAGACCCAAGCAUCCAAAAGAGAUCAGACAAGAAUCAUAUCAAGGAAAACGUUUCCAAUUCACUGUAUAGUCUCCCGAAGAGGUGCAGCUCUUUAUCAACCAAAGUCAUAAGAGCAUCUAUUUUUCAUACAAAAUAGAUGCAUUUAUUUUACGAGAAAUACUCGCAUUUAAUUCGGGUGCGGGAUAUUGGGGCCCCAAUGAAUAAGUACAAAUGUGCAUCACAUCGGGAUCGGCCUCCUUUCUGAUGCUGACUUCAACCAGAGCAGUCGAAGAAAUAAUUUGAGAAAUACUCGUUCCUUGCCUUAGUAUACGAGAUGGUAGCUGUUUCCCAUUAUGUUGUCGUGGCAUAUCUGUUGUGAUGGAGGCGUUUGCGCACACCAAGUCAACUGAUUCUAUAGGUAUUGGUGUAUUGCCAGUGAAUUUGAAACUGUUCUGUGCAUUUGAACUGUGACUGAAUUUGUGAAACUGUGACUGUUGUCAAAUGAUUGCUAUUAUCACAACUCCCAACUGAUUCCAGAACUCUAAAUCAACUCUCAAUUGAUCCAUAUCUAUUGUGUUGCCAGUGAAUUUGAAACUGUUCUGUGAUUUGUGACUGUGAUUUGGUGAAACUUGCUGUUGAAAAAAUGAGUGCUUUUAUCAUAAUGCAUUGCAUAAUUGAGCUAAAUAUUGGGUUAAUUUAACAUACUCUAAUUAAUUAAGUAACCAUCCGCGGUUGACCCGGGGUGGUCUUUUCUGAACUUGUUGAUUGAUGUUGCAUUUUGUGUUGAUGUUGCUUUUGUGUGGGUUUGCCCAUAUGAGUUGUUAUUGAAUGGCAUCCCACAAAUUCUUGCUUUAUGCCACAGCCAAUACUCGCCAAAUAAAGUUUAAACUGGU